Clupea harengus (Atlantic herring) is the source of this 1141-nucleotide long non-coding RNA. The record is from Ensembl. NCBI's taxonomy places the organism in Eukaryota, Metazoa, Chordata, Actinopteri, Clupeiformes, Clupeidae.
GUGACUGAGUCGUCCUGAGUGGGACUGUUAGGCUGAACGCCAGGCGAGUAAUAGUGUUGCCUCACCAGAGAAUAACUGAGGCUCAUUUUCCAUUGUGCUGUGCCACAGUUAUCAAUCGCCUCGCAAAAGCAACGUGCCCCAGUCACGAACGCUAAUCAGCCCCCAAGAACAGUCCUGCAGUACACGCACGCAUACACACACACACACAGCCCUGUAAAAAAAAUGUCUGUAUUUGAGCUCUUGAUUUAUUUCACAUUUCCCAUCUGCCCAAACAUUUGUUCAGAUACGUGUGUUUCUCUCCAGGCCUGGCUUGGUCCACCACUUGAAAGAAUGGUGAACGUGUCCUUCAGCUGGUUUCAGGCUCCCAGUCUAAACCCGGUUGUGCCUGAGCACGACUUCAGUAUGCGCGGCUGGAGUUCCCCUGGCCUGGCUCCAGCCUCCCCAAUCCUCCCUCCCUCCUUCCCUCUCUGCCUCUCUCCUCUCCGGAGGAUUCUACCGCAUCCUCUUUUAAGACUCCAAAAAAUGGCAGCUAUUUUUUCCCCUUUUCUUUUCUUUUCUUUUUUUUUCUGGCUCUUUCAACAUCUCAUUUAUUUAUUUUCCUCUCCGCAGCAGGUUUCUUUGCGUUCGGCUCUGACCCUUUCACCUUUGGCCGCGGUUCUCUCUGACUCACUUCCUCUUCCUGUAGUCAGUGGGCCUGAUCCAGUUAUCUUACCUAUUUAGUCCGUUAAUCGUUUAACCAGCACUCGUUUGUUUACAUUGAUAACAGAAGAAAGAGGCUAAAAAAGAAACAAAACUACAAAGUGACUUCAAAACCAUGUUAGUGGUGGCCUAAGGUCCCCAAAGGAAAAGGAAGGAAGCCCCCAGUGCGCUGCAGAGCGAGCAGAGAAGGCUGCGUGAGUGAGAUUAGUGCCCAGAUGAAUUACAGAAGGCCACAGUAAACAUCAUCUUAUUACUUUAUCAUUUUACUUUAUGCUACGGGUGCAUAGUAGACAAUCUGCAAACCCUUACUGAUACUAAUACUGCUAUUACCAAUCAUUGCAUAAAUACUCCACAAGUGUUAUGUAAGAUGAUUGAUGACUCCCAUCUACAUGUUUACUGUUGAUUAAGCACAAUCUGAUUUGCAUUUGUCAUCGUCAGUGUC